CUACGGGCCGCUCCAGUCGCGAAACCUUUACAAUGCACGAAAGUGUGAUAAGGGAAUCCUAAGUGCUUAUCUUCGGAUAGGCUUUUGUUAAGAAUAAAAAUCUUGGCGAAUAAGUGGUGGGUAAGACUGGUGCCAGCCGCCGCGGUAACACCAGCGCCACGAGUGGUGAUCAUGAUUAUUGGGCCUAAAGCAUCCGUAGUUUGUUUGUUAAGUUUAUUGUGAAAUUGUUAAUGUUAACAUAACAACGUGCAAUAAAUACUGGUAAACUUGAGACCGGGAGGAGAUAGGAGUAUUUUUUGGGGAACGGUAAAAUGUUAUAAUCCUUAAAAGACUACCUGUGGCGAAGGCGCCUAUCUAGAACGGUUCUGACGAUGAGGGAUGAAAGCUUGGGUAGCAAAACGGAUUAGAUACCCGGGUAGUC
RNAcentral lists this ribosomal RNA (421 nucleotides) under uncultured archaeon. Its description in RNAcentral is "partial 16S ribosomal RNA". It matches the Rfam family "Archaeal small subunit ribosomal RNA", at positions 323 to 746 of the family's 1478-position model. The record is from RNAcentral.